GCGUAUACAUCUACCUUUUACAGAGGGAUAGCCCAGAGAAAUUUGGAUUAAUACCUCAUAGUAUUUUUGAAUGGCAUGAUUUGAUUAUUAAAGUUCCAACGGUAAAAGAUGAGUAUGCGUCCCAUUAGCUAGAUGGUAAGGUAACGGCUUACCCAUGGCUACGAUGGGUAGGGGUCCUGAGAGGGAGAUCCCCCACACUGGUACUGAGACACGGACCAGACUCCUACGGGAGGCAGCAGUGAGGAAUAUUGGACAAUGGGCGCAAGCCUGAUCCAGCCAUGCCGCGUGCAGGAAGAAGGUCCUAUGGAUUGUAAACUGCUUUUAUACAGGAAGAAACACCUCUACGUGUAGAGACUUGACGGUACUGUAUGAAUAAGGACCGGCUAACUCCGUGCCAGCAGCCGCGGUAAUACGGAGGGUCCAAGCGUUAUCCGGAAUCAUUGGGUUUAAAGGGUCCGUAGGCGGCCAAAUAAGUCAGUGGUGAAAGCCCAUCGCUCAACGAUGGAACGGCCAUUGAUACUGUUUGGCUUGAAUUAUUAGGAAGUAACUAGAAUAUGUAGUGUAGCGGUGAAAUGCUUAGAGAUUACAUGGAAUACCAAUUGCGAAGGCAGGUUACUACUAAUAUAUUGACGCUGAUGGACGAAAGCGUGGGGAGCGAACAGGAUUAGAUACCCUGGUAGUCCACGCCGUAAACGAUGGAUACUAGCUGUUCGGAGCAAUCUGAGUGGCUAAGCGAAAGUGAUAAGUAUCCCACCUGGGGGAGUACGUUCGCAAGAAUGAAACUCAAAGGAAUUGACGGGGGCCCGCACAAGCGGUGGAGCAUGUGGUUUAAUUCGAUGAUACGCGAGGAACCUUACCAAGGCUUAAAUGGGAAACGACAGGUUUGGAAACAGACUUUUCUUCGGACGUUUUUCAAGGUGCUGCAUGGUUGUCGUCAGCUCGUGCCGUGAGGUGUCAGGUUAAGUCCUAUAACGAGCGCAACCCCUGUCGUUAGUUGCCAGCGAGUCAUGUCGGGAACUCUAACGAGACUGCCAGUGUAAACUGUGAGGAAGGUGGGGAUGACGUCAAAUCAUCACGGCCCUUACGCCUUGGGCCACACACGUGCUACAAUG
Molecule: ribosomal RNA, 1112 nt
Filed under: Flavobacterium sp.
Lineage: Bacteria; Pseudomonadati; Bacteroidota; Flavobacteriia; Flavobacteriales; Flavobacteriaceae
Description: bacterial SSU rRNA
Rfam family: Bacterial small subunit ribosomal RNA
Source: RNAcentral